AAGGGGCCCUUCGGGGAUUGACUGCUACUAGUUACACCUCUCGAUGUUCUGAUUAACGGUAAGAUGCUGAAGAUUUUCACAAAACUCAGUAGUACUCACUCAUCUUGGGAGCAGACAUUUGAGUGUUACAGUGAGUUUGAUACUUUCUCUAUGGUUUACAAUUUUCUAUCGGGCUGGCUUGAUCAACAACACAUUACAUUCACUAUAAAGAUACAUUCUUAAUGCAAAACUUCCAUUCAAUUCACAAUUCACUUUCACAAGAAUUGGCACCUUCGAGGGACUCAUCAGCAUCAGCAGUUUGUUCCAUAUGUCUUUUAAAAAAGCCAUGUAUUAUGGAGAAGUAUAUGCACCACAUCUGUGGACAAGCAAGCAACACUACAUUUUUCCUAGUUCAAAACGCUUCCCUGAAGGCACAACCAGGAAACUCCAUUGUUUCUUUGAGGGCAGUGUUCAGCUUCAUGUGCCAAAAUCAACGUGGCUUCCAGGCAGGCCAUUCUGAUCUCUCGUGAGCGAACAGCUGAGGCGGUCUAGCUUUGGUAUUUUACUGUGUACUGUAAAUGGCCUUCAUGUACUGAGGCACAUAUCCCGUGUGCUAAGCUGAAAAGAAUUGUCCCUGUUAUAUUAUCUGUACAUUAAAGGUAUGUUGACAUCAGUGAGGAUCAGAGCGAACCAAAGAUCGAGGCUUCGCCAUCAAAUGAGUUUGGGAACCAUGUCGAUGGUGACGAGAGGCACUGGAAGGGCCUGAGGACAAAGAAGAGCUAUGGCAGAAAUCCCAUCUGUUAAUGCGUUUGCUUUUUUUUUCCCCCUCUGAAAAGAAACUGUUUGGAAAGAGUAGUUUUCUUAAACCUGCCUUUGUGUUGCAAUAUACAAAUUGAACCUGCUAAAGCUACCACUGUAGUUAAGGAGUCAGUUUACCCAAAUAGUACAUAAUACUCGUAAUUAGAAGUUAUAAGCUACUCAAAAACUUUCAUUUGCCCAGAUUUGAAGAUAUACAGUACAUGAAUGGGAUUUUGGCCAGCACCCACCUAGUAUAAUUUCAGUGUCUGGUGUUUAAAAGAUUAAAAUGAUAUUUAAAAAGGGUCAAUUUGUAAAAGUUACAUUUCUUUUUUAGAAACUAACAUUUUCAAAUUCUGAAACAGAAAAGCGUUUGCUAGCUUCCUCUACAGCCUAAACUGACCCUGCAGUAUAAGACACUGUUUGACAUUUUGGGAAGUUUAUUUGCUUUCUUG
Long non-coding RNA from Oreochromis aureus, 1229 nucleotides. The record is from Ensembl. NCBI's taxonomy places the organism in Eukaryota, Metazoa, Chordata, Actinopteri, Cichliformes, Cichlidae.